Molecule: long non-coding RNA, 1092 nt
Organism: Macadamia integrifolia
Lineage: Eukaryota; Viridiplantae; Streptophyta; Magnoliopsida; Proteales; Proteaceae
Exons: 3
Source: RefSeq, a predicted model, not a curated record
CCCAUGAUUGCAAGCUAUUGUAAUGUAUAUACUGCCAUGAAUGUUAAACAGAUUAAAGGCAAUCCUCCAACCAGUAACAGAAGAAGUAGAGAGUUUGUUUAGGCCAAAAUCAGGGGGAACCAGAUAGUGUAAUCCAGGGCUUUGUUUCAAAUGGUGAUAUGCAAAGAGAGCUCCCUCUUGCACUGAUUCCGACUGGAGAAAUCAGGGAAGAUGCCUCCCUUUUGAAAACCUAACCUUAGAUGUGAGAGAGAGAGAGAGAGAGUCGUGGUUUGUGCUUUGAGGAACGUAGACACCUUUUGAUUACGUUUCUGUGUUUCUCCGUUUCUGUUCUCAGGGGAAAAAUAAAUGAAAUUGUGUCCGAUAAAACUUGUCUCUAAAUUUUGAAAACCUCAAAACGACCCCAAGCUCCAAGUCCGCCGCAUCUCCUCUCGACGUCGUCGACCUCCAAAACGUCUUAACCCAACAAGGAACUGGUGCUUCCAGGUUGCUGCAACACCUCUUCGAAACUAGAAGGAUUUACGGAUUUUUGUGGUUCCUUCACUGUGAGCUCUCUGUCCUUUGUCCUGGAAUCGGUUCCCACUCGACCCAGAUGGCACAUUGAGAGGGAAUCGCUUCAAUCGGAACUCUGCUCAACCCUCCACAAAUCCAACCUUCAACUUUCGUCCUCUGUAGGGUUUCAUUCAAUGGAAUUGGAUUGAUGAUAAAGGUCCUCUGUGCUUGAUUUCGAAUCUGAAAAAUUGGAAAAAGAAUGCUGAUUAUGCUGCAACAAAUGUGAGGUGUAACUUCAUUACCCCUUCAGUUCUUCUCCUUGAUGUCUCUCUCCCGCAGCUUAGCUUCACCUUACCCAUGGCUCAGAGAGCUAAAAUCCGAGGAGCGUGGAUUGUAUCUGAUCCAUCUGUUGCUUUCCUGUGCCAACCAUGCGGCCAGGUGAAGGGGGAUCAAGGAGGGAGAAUUUUGUAGGAUCUCAGCACAUUUUUUUUCAAGUGUGAUUGUAUGCUUUGGCAACUCUAUUCUUGUUCAUCAGAAUUGUAUUCAACUACACUCGGUAAAAUGCCUGUUUCAUAUUGAAUUAAAGAGGUUCUCCCCUUCCCC